CCUGCCUUCAAGGAGCUUGCAGGUGUGUAAACACAUAUGUCAACAAAAAUAGAUACCAUAAAAGGCUAUCUGCAAAAAAAAACUUGUAAACAAAAUGAUGGUAAACGGAAAUAAGAACAAAUUGCUGUGGAAGCACGGACUGAGGAAAGAGAUGGCUUCAUCAAGAAUGAAGAGUAGAUUUUUUAAGUAGACAAGGGAGGAAAGCACACUGCAGUGGAUGGAACCACUUAUGCAAAGGUGAUAUAAUUUAAAAGGUGUAGAAGAAAGACCAAGAACAUUUGCUGAAAUUGACUCAGAAAAUUUGGGAGAUAAGCGGAUAGAAUAUGAACAAGAAAAGAUCACCUCGAUUGAGUCUUCAAAUAAUUGUGAGACGUGUUUAUUUAGAAAGACACUCCUGGGGAUCCAUAUGUUCAAAGAGAAGAAGAAUGAACUCAAAGGUGAUAUCAUUGUGAUGCAUUUGAUUAAUGGAAAGGACAACAUUAAUGGUUAUAGGAAAAGUGCUUUUACAUAACUUGAAAAGGUAGAACAGACACAACCUCAUAACAUUUCAUUGACCAGGAAUGUAUUUUACCCUGAGGC
RNAcentral lists this long non-coding RNA (579 nucleotides) under Equus asinus (donkey). RNAcentral describes it as "lncRNA (ENSEASG00005023570.1)". Lineage: Eukaryota; Metazoa; Chordata; Mammalia; Perissodactyla; Equidae. The record is from RNAcentral.